RNAcentral lists this ribosomal RNA (460 nucleotides) under uncultured bacterium. Its description in RNAcentral is "partial 16S ribosomal RNA". It matches the Rfam family "Bacterial small subunit ribosomal RNA", at positions 338 to 795 of the family's 1533-position model. The record is from RNAcentral.
CCUACGGGAGACAGCAGUGAGGAAUAUUGGUCAAUGGGCGGAAGCCUGAACCAGCCAAGUCGCGUGAGGGAAUAAGGCCCUACGGGUCGUAAACCUCUUUUGCCGGGGAGCAAGGGCGGGGACGUGUCCCGGCCCGGAGAGUACCCGGAGAAAAAGCAUCGGCUAACUACGUGCCAGAAGCCGCGGUAAUACGGAGGAUGCGAGCGUUAUCCGGAUUUAUUGGGUUUAAAGGGUGCGUAGGCGGGCUUUUAAGUCAGCGGUAAAAAUUCGGGGCUCAACCCCGUCCGGCCGUUGAAACUGGGGGCCGUGAGUGGGCGAGAAGAAGGCGGAAUGCGUGGUGUAGCGGUGAGAUGCAUAGAUAUCACGCAGAACCCCGAGUGCGAAGGCAGCCUUCCGGCGCCCUACUGACGCUGAGGCACGAAAGUGCGGGGAUCGAACAGGAUUAGAUACCCGUGUAGUC